RNAcentral lists this ribosomal RNA (376 nucleotides) under uncultured organism. Its description in RNAcentral is "partial 16S ribosomal RNA". It matches the Rfam family "Bacterial small subunit ribosomal RNA", at positions 527 to 897 of the family's 1533-position model. The record is from RNAcentral.
AGAGGUGGCGAGCGUUGUUCGGAUUUACUGGGCGUAAAGGGUGCGUAGGCGGUUCGGUAUGUCAGGCGUGAAAUCUCACCGUCCAACGGUGAAACUGCGUUUGAAACUGCCGGACUAGAGUACAGGAAGGGAGAGCGGAAUUCUCGGUGUAGCGGUGAAAUGCGUAGAUAUCGAGAAGAACACCGGCGGCGAAGGCGGCUCUCUGGGCUGAUACUGACGCUGAGGCACGAAAGCUGGGGGAGCGAACAGGGAUUAGAUACCCUGGUAGUCCCAGCCGUAAACGGUGUGCACUUGGUGUGGGCGGUCUUGUCCCCCCGUCCGUGCCGUAGCUAACGCGUUAAGUGCACCGCCUGGGGAGUACGGCCCGCAAGGCUAA